This 618-nucleotide ribosomal RNA is filed under the name Triticum aestivum (bread wheat). RNAcentral describes it as "partial small subunit ribosomal RNA". Lineage: Eukaryota; Viridiplantae; Streptophyta; Magnoliopsida; Poales; Poaceae. The record is from RNAcentral.
AUGAAGGUGUUGCGCGAAUCGACCUGGGACGCUGCUGCCGCACAACGGCGAGCUCAACGAGCCCGACGACGACGGCAAGCAGCGACCUGGAAGGGGAGGAGGGGCAUGCCUGGGCCGCCGCGCUUCCUCGACCGUUGUGACACCCUCCAUGAUGGGCGCCCCAAGAUUCUUCGGCCGCAGGAAGCGUCUGGCGGCAGCGGCGCGUCUCCGGCCAAAUCCGGUCAAAUCCAAUGGAAAAACAGCCCUCCUGCCCGGCCAAGCGACCAAGCCCCAAUAGCAGAACCCAAUGGUCGUCACGCAGCAGAUGCUGUCCAACCAAGUUUGUGUUUCCACAUUGCUUCUUAUGGCAUUGAAAGCGUCUUCAAAGGCUUCCUCUUCCUCAUACUUGUACAUGCAAGCACUGAAAUCAGCAAGUACAUUUGGUCCAUCCUCGUCUUUUUUCUUAUGAGGAACGUGUUGAACAACCAUUUGAAUGAUUCAAAUGUCUCAUCAUAUAAAAGUGCAGCACCAAAAAUGACCAUUUCUCUGAAAUGGUUGAAACCAACAAACACACCGAAGGGUCUGUACUCUUUGUUUGUCCCAAAUGUUGUAUCGAAGGUAACAACAUCACCGAAAUGA